UAGGGAAUCUUCCACAAUGGGCGAAAGCCUGAUGGAGCAACGCCGCGUGUGUGAUGAAGGGUUUCGGCUCGUAAAACACUGUUGUAAGAGAAGAAUGACAUUGAGAGUAACUGUUCAAAUGUGUGACGGUAUCUUACCAGAAAGGAACGGCUAAAUACGUGUCAG
Molecule: ribosomal RNA, 165 nt
Filed under: uncultured bacterium
Lineage: Bacteria
Description: partial 16S rRNA
Rfam family: Bacterial small subunit ribosomal RNA
Source: RNAcentral